This 467-nucleotide ribosomal RNA is filed under the name uncultured bacterium. RNAcentral describes it as "partial 16S ribosomal RNA". It matches the Rfam family "Bacterial small subunit ribosomal RNA", at positions 28 to 507 of the family's 1533-position model. The record is from RNAcentral.
GACGAACGCUGGCGGCGUGCUUAACGCAUGCAAGUCGAACGGAAAGGCCUCUUUCGGGGGGUACUCGAGUGGCGAACGGGUGAGUAACACGUGAGUAACCUGCCCUUGACUUUGGGAUAACUUCAGGAAACUGGGGCUAAUACCGGAUAGGAGCUCCUGCUGCAUGGUGGGGGUUGGAAAGUUUCGGCGGUUGGGGAUGGACUCGCGGCUUAUCAGCUUGUUGGUGGGGUAGUGGCUUACCAAGGCUUUGACGGGUAGCCGGCCUGAGAGGGUGACCGGCCACAUUGGGACUGAGAUACGGCCCAGACUCCUACGGGAGGCAGCAGUGGGGAAGAUUGCACAAUGGGUGGAAGCCUGAUGCAGCAACGCCGUGUGCGGGAGGACGGCCUUCGGGUUGGAAACCGCUUUCGCUCAUGACGAAGCUUUGUGUGACGGUAGUGGGUAAAGAAGCACCGGCUAACUACGUG